RNAcentral lists this non-coding RNA (28 nucleotides) under Bombyx mori (domestic silkworm). The record is from RNAcentral. Lineage: Eukaryota; Metazoa; Arthropoda; Insecta; Lepidoptera; Bombycidae. RNAcentral also lists the same sequence under 1 other name.
UGUAUAGUCAUUUUAAAGUGCGUGCGUG